RNAcentral lists this long non-coding RNA (1227 nucleotides) under Homo sapiens (human). RNAcentral describes it as "HSALNT0359837". Lineage: Eukaryota; Metazoa; Chordata; Mammalia; Primates; Hominidae. The record is from RNAcentral.
CAGGCAACGGCCAAUGGCUUCUACAAUCCCUUUCAUCCUGGACAGUCCAGUGUUGUGAUACCCUGACACCAAGACCCUUCCUUGGUUGUCUGGCACAGUGCUGCCACAUACCAUCUCAGGAACUUUCAUUUAUUUCCCUUUGUGUCCAAACAUCAGAAAGGCUUUCUGAGUUGCUUGCCAAGGUGUUCUUCAGCCUUCCCUAGGCUAAACUUCUCCAUUGGAUCAAUAGCAGGUGGUCAACAAAGACAAAAACACCAUCUUCAGAAUGACUCAGAUCAUCCUCUUGGGCAGCCCUUUUUGGAUAUCUCUAUGAAAUUCUGCAGCUGAAAGCUGACACGCAUAAUUAUUUCCUGUUAGAUACUGAAGAAAAAAAAAAGCCCAGGAGAUAUUGUCGAGACUGUUUCUGGGGUGUGAUUGGGGGAUAGGAGAUGAAUGUCAUGAUUGAAGCAGCAGAGUUGAAGCCUCAAAAAUAAGGGCCAUGGAUAAUUGAGAGACCUCAGAUGGUGUCAGAAUUGGAACAUGAAGUAGAACUUCCAGUAACCCCUAGGAGCAUCAAGUGACCCAGAGAGGUAACCCCCUCCACCAGGGUCCAUUGCAUCCAUUGCUCUCUCACAGCAACUGAGGCUCAUGGGACUGGAGUGGAGUCGGUAGGAAGGAACAGUCUUUGAAGUUAGAUGCGCCAGGUUGUAACCCCACUUCCACCAAUUGUGGUAACUUUGUGAGACAAGCCUCAAAUUUUACCACUGUACCAAGAAAUGAAAGCCAGAAUGUGGAAUUGGAGCUGGUAAUGACGACGUCAGGACAGGUUCAAAGGAAGCCCAUCACUUGAGUAAAAAUUUAUAGCCCUGCUUGUGCUGUGCUGUGCUGUGCUGUGAGUUUCAGUUCCGGGCCAGCAAAAGAUUUAUCAAAGGAAAGCAACAAGGUGUGUGGAAAUAGAAGGUAAGAAAAAUUAAUUUCAGAGAGGAAAAUAAAGUUGCUUGAGGGGCUCUUCAAUGACCAAAGGCCAUAAGAGACUGGAAGGCAAAAGGACCCAUUAAUGUAAUCCAAACAUCAGUCUCCUGCAGCAAAGAGGUGAAUGGAGAAGGGUGGAGAGUAGCUGUGGACGAGUGAAAAAGACAUCGCACCAUGUCUUCAAAUUACAUCCAGCAACUUCAUAUGAACUAUGAAACCCUUGUUGCCACAAUAGUCCCUCUUUGUUUGAACUACUACAAGAAUAAAGAAAUUUCU